UUAAUAUUGUAUUGGAUGAUUAUUACUCUAAGCUCUAACCAUAUUAACAAGAAAAAUUCUUUCUAAUGCCCUUUUCAUGAUGCCUCUUUUCAACUUUACCCUUUUGUUUUAUCCAUUUUUAUUUCUAUCCUUUUCAACUUUACCCUUUUGUUUUAUCCAUUUUUAUUUCUAUCCUCUUUAAAUUUUUAAUGACCAUUUUACCCUUAUUUGGAAAUUGUUUUAAGUUAACAAAAUGAAAUAUUAAUAUUUUUUCGCCUAAAAUAUUCCAAAAUAAAUUUUCCGUCAAAAAUUUUCGGAAAAAAAUUUCCCGCCAAAACUUUUCGAAAAAAAAAUUCCCGCCAAAUUUUGUUUUCAAAAAUAUUUUUCCCGCCAAUUUUUUU
RNAcentral lists this small RNA (380 nucleotides) under Arabidopsis thaliana (thale cress). RNAcentral's name for it is "ATSL258800". Lineage: Eukaryota; Viridiplantae; Streptophyta; Magnoliopsida; Brassicales; Brassicaceae. The record is from RNAcentral.